Molecule: ribosomal RNA, 356 nt
Filed under: uncultured Glomeraceae
Lineage: Eukaryota; Fungi; Glomeromycota; Glomeromycetes; Glomerales; Glomeraceae
Description: SSU rRNA
Rfam family: Eukaryotic small subunit ribosomal RNA
Source: RNAcentral
AGCAGCCGCAGUAAUUCCAGCUCCAAUAGUGUAUAUUUAAGUUGUUGCAGUUAAAAAGCUCGUAGUUGAAUUUCGGGGUCAGUAGAUUGGUCGUGCCACUGGUAUGUACUGGUCUCACUGGCUCCUCCUUCCUGAUGAACCGUAAUGCCAUUAAUUUGGUGUUGCGGGGAGACUGGACUGUUACUUUGAAAAAAUUAGAGUGUUUAAAACAGGCUAACGCUUGAAUACAUUAGCAUGGAAUAAUGAAAUAGGACGUUCGAUCUUAUUUUGUUGGUUUCUAAGAUUGACGUAAUGAUUAAUAGGGAUAGUUGGGGGCAUUAGUAUUCAAUUGUCAGAGGUGAAAUUCUUGGAUUUAU